This is a non-coding RNA of Potamilus streckersoni, 75 nucleotides long. NCBI's taxonomy places the organism in Eukaryota, Metazoa, Mollusca, Bivalvia, Unionida, Unionidae. The record is from the annotation of a GenBank genome assembly.
CACUCCAGUGGCUUAAGUGAUUACAGCAUCUGCUUCCGAUGCAGGAGGUCACGGGUUCAAACCCCAUUUGAGUCA